CCUACGGGUGGCUGCAGUGGGGAAUCUUGCGCAAUGGACGAAAGUCUGACGCAGCGACGCCGCGUGGGCGACGAAGGCCUUCGGGUUGUAAAGCCCUGUGGGGCGGGACGAAAGGUCUGGUGGCUAACAUCCACUGGAAGUGACGGUACCGCUUUAGCAAGCACCGGCUAACUCUGUGCCAGCAGCCGCGGUAAGACAGAGGGUGCGAACGUUGCUCGGAAUGACUGGGCGUAAAGCGCGUGUAGGUGGUCUCGCAAGUCGGGUGUGAAAGCCCA
Molecule: ribosomal RNA, 275 nt
Filed under: uncultured bacterium
Lineage: Bacteria
Description: partial 16S ribosomal RNA
Rfam family: Bacterial small subunit ribosomal RNA
Source: RNAcentral